AUAGGGAUACCACACAGUAUAGAGUGUCAGCGCCGGCGGCUGCAACAAACAGGAGGAUAAGGCAGCGCUUGCGGAUGAUCAUAAUGGAUGUAAAAAUAACAGAAUCUAACGUCACCAUAGACUUCAAUGUUAAACUACUAACGUAAGGACAAUAAGGCACUAUCCUAAGGAGUCUCUGAGACUAUGAAUAUAAAGACAUACAAUGAAAUUGUGGAUUAUAUAAAAAAAUAAAAAAUAAAGAAGAAACUAGGGGUCCCCAUACCAAUUUAGAACAUAAUCCUGUCCGGCUGCAGCAUCAUCUUUGUCCCAGCUGAAGCACAAGCUAGGACAAAGUCCAGUAAGUGAGGGUGGGACUAGAACUCCCUCUGUGCUCACUCCUGUCCUGUCAGACUGAGGCAUUAAAAACGAGAGGACGGGGUUACAGAGCAGCCUGUAGAAAUUGGAUGAAGAGACCCAGUACAUAACAGCAAACUACAGGAGGUAGAAGAGUGAUGCAGAGUGAGGACUUGCCCCCUCCAAAGCACAGGAUGAAAAACCAAGUGAGCAACAGAAAGAGGAUAUUUGUGAGAAAUAUAGGUGCUAGACACAUAAACAUUAUAUGUACAUGACCAGGAUUAGGUAGUGAGUAACAUAAAACUUAUUUUUGUGGGAUAUGACUUGUACUCUUUAAACUACCAGGCACCGUUUACACCUGAAAAGUAUACUUUUUGUAAAGUGUCCCUGACAUUUAACAAAACUAUGGACUUGUCACACAUACAUAUCAAAAGUUUUAUAUGGUCAGGGUCUGAUCACUAAUAUGAGCUGGGAGAAGUGCGCAACUAAGCCUGCCACUCCUAGGUUUGCGCAAUCUCCAUACAGUGGCAACAGGAAGAGGGUUUUAGUAAGUCGGGGAGCAAAGACACAGUUGCUCGCUAAUCCCGGCUUGUUCUGGCAAUUGUUGGUGGUCUAAACACGCAGACUCAGACCAAUUAAAACUUUUGAUUUGACGUGUCUCUAUGACAAAAGUCUGCAGAUUUAUUAAAACAACAGGGACACUUAAAAUGUUUAAAGGGGUACUCCC
Molecule: long non-coding RNA, 1060 nt
Organism: Hyla sarda
Lineage: Eukaryota; Metazoa; Chordata; Amphibia; Anura; Hylidae
Exons: 3
Source: RefSeq, a predicted model, not a curated record